Long non-coding RNA from Carassius auratus (goldfish), 1566 nucleotides. RefSeq lists it as uncharacterized. The transcript is spliced from 5 exons. The record is from RefSeq and is a predicted model, not a curated record. Lineage: Eukaryota; Metazoa; Chordata; Actinopteri; Cypriniformes; Cyprinidae.
CAGCUGCAUGGAAAAUCUGACCAACUAGCUGCAAACUGACUCAUCUUUAAGGCAUCAACGGUCAGACUGACCCUCCCUGGGAAAUGAAAUCAAAGCCAAUCUCAUCAACAGAACACAGACUCGGCUGAUUGGGCAAGGUGGUGCUAACUUGAAUAGUGCAAUUGGCCAUUCAAACUGCUAUUUUGAGACCAAACUGAAGAUCAGCUGGUAACAUCAGCAGUGGACUGACCAUGCAAGAGUUAAUCCUACUAAUGACUAAAGACCCACACGGUAGCAUCAGCAGUGGACUGAAGGUGUGAGUGUUAAUCCUACUAAUGAAACAAACCUCUUUACCCCAGCAUGAGAAGGCCAUGCUAGAUGAAACCAAUCUCUUCUUUCUCACUCUCUGCGACAAAAGAUGGAUGUACCAGCAGACAAAACAGCAGCUCACUUGUCAACUUAUGGACUCCAUGUAUACUUCAAGAUCCAGUUCCCUGUUUCUGUCAUUAAAUCUGUCCUGUUCUACACUCCAUCCCUGCAACUUCCUCCCACAAACCUACAAUAAUUGGCACCACGAGAUCUCUGGUCUUCCGCUUUCCUGGAGCUUCCCUAUUUUUCCAUUUCUUGCCUCCAUGCAGUAGUAGCCAUUGAUAUUUCCCUCAGUGUGACAAGUGGGGUUAUUUUAAAAUUCAAACUGGAUUCAGCGGUGAGCCGGGCGAUGACACUUUUUAAUAUCUGAAUGGAGUUGUAUGGGAAAUGUGAAGCAGACGGCCGGGGUGAGAAUUCAUUACCCGGCCCCUUCGCUCACCAGCGCCAGCUGCUGCCUCGCACAUCCCAUCUCAAAACCCAAAUUGAACCCCACCCUCUGCAUAUAUUCCAGCCCCAUUACAAUGUCAGGUAUCCAGUCCUGAGAUGGCGCCCGCUGCUUAUGCAAUGUCAGUCACUAGACAACUUGCUUCAACAACUUGACCCCCAUCUGCUCCCUCUUACCUUUUUAUUCCUCUCCCAGGAUUCAUUGCUCAUUCAGAACAUGCUCUCGCCUACAUAUUUAUUUGCAGAUAGGCUGGUGAGCAAACCUGCCAUGUCUCCUCGGAGGUGUGCUCCUCCUCAUCUUAAAUGCGAUGUUGAGAGGCCUGAGGAGAUGUUGAUACUGUGAUUGUCUGGUGGCUAACCGAGUGAUCAGCACUGUGGGCUGGAUGUUUGACACACUGUCAUUCAUACAUUAUCACUCUCUUAUCACCAUUCUUCCCUUUCCAAUUUUCAGCUAGGAUGUUUUACUAAAAUGACGGCAGGACACAGAGAUUGAAGCAUGUUUCACAAGUGAUAUGACAACUUAUUGGCACCUAUAUGAAUGAGCCAUGAAUAGCCUACAGUACGGACAGUUAACUAACACAAAGAAUUGUCCAUUCAAAUUAUUAAUGCUAAUAAAUGUAACCCUAGAAUGCAUAAAUGAGGCCAAAUUGACCAGACAGCGUAUUAAUUUUGGGCUAUUGUUCAGUUAUUUGAUUUUGAAAUUUUCCCUUAAUUGUAUUUAUUUUUAAUAGUAUAUGUCUUGCUGCAUUUAUUUGAUCAGAAGAAUACAGUAAA